GAUGAACGCUGACAGAAUGCUUAACACAUGCAAGUCGAUGGGGAAGUGGUGCUUGCACCAUGGCAACCAUGGCGGACGGGUGAGUAACGCGUAAGGGACUUACCUGCAGGACUGGGAUAACAGGGGGAAACUCCUGACAAGACCGGAUAAUGUCAUGGAGCUGCAUGGCUUUAUGAUGAAAGGAGACGCCUGCGGAGAGCCUUGCGUCCUAUUAGCUAGUUGGUGAGGUAAUGGCUCACCAAGGCGAAGAUAGGUAGCCGGCCUGAGAGGGUGGACGGCCACAAGGGGACUGAGAUACGGCCCUUACGCCUACGGGAGGAAGCAGUGGGGAAUAUUGGACAAUGGGGGCAACCCUGAUCCAGCAAUUCUGUGUGCACGAAGAAGGUUUUCGGAUUGUAAAGUGCUUUCAGCAGGGAAGAAGUAAGUGACGGUACCUGCAGAAGAAGCGACGGCUAAAUACGUG
Molecule: ribosomal RNA, 463 nt
Filed under: uncultured bacterium
Lineage: Bacteria
Description: partial 16S ribosomal RNA
Rfam family: Bacterial small subunit ribosomal RNA
Source: RNAcentral